RNAcentral lists this long non-coding RNA (7431 nucleotides) under Brassica napus (rape). RNAcentral's name for it is "long non-coding RNA (BNAP_LNC002348)". The record is from RNAcentral. Lineage: Eukaryota; Viridiplantae; Streptophyta; Magnoliopsida; Brassicales; Brassicaceae.
UUUAUUUAUAUAAAGCCAUAGCUUAAAAAAAAAAACUAAGAAGCAUUUAUUGUACAAAACUGGUUUUUUGUUGAAUAAAUUUGAAAAUCAUUAAAAGGAUCAGUAAUGAAGCAUGCUUCUCUAUUUUUGAAGAAAAGAAACUAAUGGAACUGCGAAAAAGUUUAUGUUUUCGUAUACACACUCACAUCGUGAGGUUUUUAUUCAAGUUUAAAGACAGUUACAAAACGCUAAAAGGCCAUUAUCUCAAGCCCGUGACUGAUAGGAGAAACCGUUAACUGUGAGGCCUCCAUCAACACAAAUGGUUUGACCAGUGAUGUAGGACGCUGCAGGUAGACACAAGAAGACCACUAGCGAUGCAACUUCAUUUGGCUCUCCAGCACGACCAAGUGGAGUUCUACAGAACAAUUUUUCCUUGAAACUGACGUCCUCAAGAUACUUUAAGAAACAAAAGUGAGUUAGGGAUUAGAGGAAGCCAGUAGCUAAAUUCACAAAAUAAGAUCUGUAAAUUAUAUAUUAUUAUUACAGAUUGAGACUGUCGAGUCUUGACAACAUUAGGUGCAACAGCAUUGGCUCUUAUGCCGUCUUUUGCCCAUUCACAUGCCAAAUUUCUAGCUAGCUGGUUCAGAGCUCCUAAUAAAAGCAAUUCAACAAAAUAUUAAAAAAAUGAAGAAAAAUUUGUUGAUUAGUCAGUCAUGCAAACUGCAUCUAGUAGUAACUAUUAAUACCUUUGGUUACACCAUAAAUGGAUCCACACUCAAAUGAUACAACCCCUGCAACAGAAGACAAGAAGACGAUGCUUCCAUAACCUGAAGCCUUUAAGAGUGGAUAUGAAAGCUGGCAAAAAUGAAAAGCAGCUUCCAAGUUUGUUGAGCUAUGGUAAGCAAAAUCUUCUGCCACAUAUUCUAUUGUUGGCUUCCCGCGAAGUACUCCCACGUUAUUUACCUAUAUGAACAAAAGGAAGAUUUCUCUUUAGAAAAGUUCCGUUACCGAAUAUGCUUAGUUGUUUACUUGUUUAUUAAAACCAUUUACUUACAAGAAUGUUGAGUUUACCAUCGAACAGGGAGGAGACAUGUUGUAUCAAUGUUUCUCUCUCAGAGCGUGAGGUUACAUCACAGACUGAGCCUUUGACUUGAAACCCUUUAUUUUCCCAUUCACUUAAACUUUGAUUGAGCAGAGUUUCAGAUAUGUCACAUACGUGGAUUUUAGCUCCAAAAUUAGCUAAUUCCUCUACUAUGGCAUACCUAGACAUUCCAGUUCCUUAAAUAUAUUAUGUUAAAUAGAAUCAGAAGAAAGGUUAAAAGAGGUGAUAUUGUAGAUCAAACUGAGAAGAAAGGUGUACCCGAUUCCGCUGGCUCCACCAGUUACAAGAGCAGUCAUACCUUGAAGACUCCAUCUUUUAUCCAUUUUUUUUUGUUUUUGUUUGUGAUGAUUAGCAAUGACCAGAAAUGCCACAGAUAAUAUACAUACGAUGAAUGUGGAUGAGAUAAGUCUUAGAGCACCCGCAAUGGGAAUCCUUAAGGGGAAAUUCUUAGAGAAAAUAUAAUUAAAUAAUCGAUAGACCCCACCAAAAGCUAAGGAUUCAAUCCUUAAAAUUCUUAAAUAAGGACUCUUUCUUAGUGAAUCCUUGCACUAUUUGCGGGUCCCAACGACAUGUGGCGACCAGCAAUUGGUUGAUAUUUAUUUUUUUUAUCUAAAAAAUAAAAAAUAAAUAAUAAUACUUAAAAAAUCAAAAUACACUUUUUCUAAGGACUCCCCUUAGAAUAACACCAUUGCGGGUGCUCUUAUAGCGGAAGCAAUCAUCGACAAGGCCACGAUAACAGACGUUGCAGGCGUUAGUAACUCCUUUAGCAGGUCUAGGCUGAGGCUGAGGCCUCUCAUUCAAAAACACAACCUUUGCGCUGUUGAUCACAUACGUCUGAAUGCUGAAGAUAUCUAAAUGCUUCUGAAUCUCACUUACCCUUAUCACAUCAUGAUAAGAUGAUCUCCUUAUCUGCAUAAUCAAAGGCCAGCAGCAACAUUCAAUAUCAAACUUUCUCCAAAAGCAGUCUGAAAAUAUGAAAUGCAAACGCACCUGAAUGGUACGAUGAUCCUUGUGAUGGGCAAGACAGAGAGAGCAGAGGGAGCCGUUAGUGCAGUCCAAACAAUACAUGUUGCAUUCGCUCUUAGGUGAGUGUCCAUGGAAGUUGCAUUGAACAAAAAAGGGUUCUUUAAGUAAAGGUUUCAGCCAUGAAGGCCACCACUUCCCUUCUUCCUCCUCUCCACCACCACCUCCCUGAUAAUAAAAAAAAAAACCAUUAACAACAUGAUUCGUCAGCUUCUUAUCUACCAGAAACACCAUUGACUUCAAACAUAUCAUAAAGUCUUCUCCUUUAUAGAUUUAAGGAGACUCUUGACUAGUUCUCUCAGGCUUUGAUGGUUUUUCUAAAUUUCAUAGAAAAGCAUUUUGAACGGCGAUAAAUACUUAAGCCGUGAAUCUAGUUUUGAAAUAAAUCUUAGAAUCAAAUAAUGAAUCGGUAGAACUUGAAGAACAUUGCGAGCAGACAAUGCAGAACAAUGAGUCAACAAUGUAAUAAUCUAAAAAGAGGUGACUUUUUUUUAAAGACAUACCAUGACUGUUCUGUUCUUAGGAUUGAUUUCUCGAUUUGGGUUCUCGUGGUCUUCAAUGGCCAUUGUCGGAAUGCGGUAAAAGAGUAGACUUUUCUGAGUAAAAGGGGUUCUAGAGAGAGAAUGCGAGAAAGGGUUUAAGAAAGCGAGAGAGAGAGAUGGGUUUCUUGCAGAGUGGGUUUUAGAGAGAAGAAGAGGAGAAAGAGAAAGAUUCCUCCUUAUUCUACUCCCUAUGCCGACUAACCGAACCUAACAUCUGAGCCUAAGAUUGUUUUGGUUUUUAAAAUCGAACCUAAUUCCGAACCUAAACUCCGAGCGUAAGAUGCGUUGGCUUCAAGGAACUCUCCUUGGCUCUUCUCUUUUAUUAUUCCUUUUGUAUUUUUAAAAUAUCUUUUUGUCCUCCUUCGGUCUUAUCUCUCAUAACUAUAUACCUUUUUUUUCCAUUGUAAAUUGUUACUAGGUGUUUUGCCCGCACAUGCGGGCAUGUCUUAUUAAUCCAAAAAUCCGCAUUAUAAAACUCUAAUUGGUGAACAUGAUGAAAGAAAAAUAUUAUGGUAAAUUCUUUGUUCCUCAAAAUUUAUACCAGUUAUGUUGAAAUUUUAGUCAAAUUUUUGAAAGGUAUAUCUCAUUUUUUUCUUCUAAAUUCCCCAUGGAGGAAUGAAUUUAUAAGAAAAAAAUUUUCCUAUGCAAUUUUGAUAAGGAACAAAUUGAACAAAAAUUCAUAUUUUUUUAUUUUUUCAAUUCCAAAAUUUUAUUUUUUAUUUUGUUCAUUUUUUUUCAUUCUUCUAGUGGUUACCAACUGAAGCUAUAGUGUUUCACGGAUUAAACUUAAACUGGUUUAAAGUAAAAGCAAAAAAAAAUAUUUUGAACUCAGUCACAAAUUAAGUUAUUAUUUAUGAUUUUAAAUAGUUAAAUCAAACAUCAAAUUAUUUAUAUAUGCCAAAAAAACGUUCAUCAAACUAUGUACUUAUUAUUGUGUUAAAAGUUUUAAAACACUCAUAUAUUAGAAAUAGUUUAGAAAAUAUCUUUAUAUAAAUAUUUUUGUUAAUAUUUAAUUAUAAACUGUUUUAUAUCUUAGUUUUUUUACUUUAUAAUAAAAAAUAUUAUUUUCAGAUAGCAACACAAUAUAUAUAAGAAUUCUCUUAAUUUUUAAAUAUAUUUUCACAAUUUUAUUAUAUAAAUAAGAACUAAUAAUAAAUUAAUGACCUAUAUAAAAGCUUAAAACCUAAUAAAAUAUGACAAAUAAGAAAAUAAAAAUUUUAUUAUAACAUAUAGAUUUAAAUAUCACUAAAUCAAAAUUCGUUUUUAAUUAUAUAUAAAAUUCAUUACGGAUAUUUUUUAAUUAAUAAAUUAGUGAUUCAGCUAAAAAUUAUUAAUAAAUCAAUGACUAAGAUAAAACCUAAUAAAAACAUGACAAAUAAGUAAAAUUGACUAAAAUCAUGGAAAACAUGACAAGUAAGCAAAAUUAACUAAAAUCAUGGAAAUCAUGACAAAUAAGCUAAAUCACUUCAUAAAUAAUAGUAUAGAUCAUUAUUUUCCCUAGUUUUGUUGACAUUUUUUGUUUUGUUCUAUGUCAUAUACAUCUUUAGUUGCAGGAGUUGUGAUGAACCAUGGACAAACAGAGUUAACCCUUAUGUUAUCACUCGCCCACUCGCAAGCCAAGUUUCUCCCUAGCUGAUUCAGGGCUCCUGGAAUGAAAAAAUUAAUGUUAUUAUAGAAGCAAAUGAUCAUUAACUUUUGAGUAUGCGCAUAUUUAUGCCUUUGGUUGCUCCAUAGAUGGAUGUACGACUCAAAUUUACAACCCCAGCAAUGGAAGACAUGAGCACAAUGUUCCCUGAACCAGAGGCUUUCAACAACGGGUGCGCGAGCUGUGCGAGAUGAAAUGCUGACUCCAGAUUUGUAGCCAUGAUAAAUGAAAAUUCUUCUGAUGUACACUCUAUGGUCGGCUUCACAACACCCGUUCCCACAUUGCUUACCUAUAUACACCCAAACAAACCAAACACAACAUGAUUUGGCACUUAUUGAGAAUCGGUUUCUCACUACAAGCUGAUAAAGCAUUAGCUUGAGGUCUGUAAAUUUGUAAGUUAUUUUAGGGCCAAAAUUUCCUGUUUGUUGUUAGAUCAGCUGUCAUAGUUUGCUGGCUUUAUAGAUAAUGUCAUGUUCAAAUAUGUAAUGCAUUUAUUUUUCUUCUAUUUUUAUGGUUGUAGAUCCCAUUUAAUAAUACUUUUAAUUCAAAGAUAGAAACUAUUUUUUCUCUAUGAAUAUAUCAUUUUCUGGUAAAAGCUGACCCAGGGUUGAAAAAUUUCUUCACAUUUUUUUUUUAAUUGUGUAAAGGACCCAGAAAAUGAUGGUUAUAUACUUUGGUAAAACUCAGUGCCAGCUCUGCCCUUAUGGAUCCAAGCUGGACGAGAAGGAGCUUCUACAUAAACUUACAAAUAUGUUGAGUUUUCCUUGGAAGACAGAUGAAACGGUUUCCAUGAUUUUCUCUCGUUGGUCUGGAGAAGAAACGUCGCAGACAGAAGUGGUGAGCUGAAACCCCUUUGCUUGCCAUUCAUGUAAGCUUUCUUGAAGCUGAGUUUCGUCUCUGGCACACGUAUGGACUCUGGCCCCCAACAUGGCUAGUUCUUUCACUACAGCUUCCCUAUUCAUAUCACUCAGGAAAUAUGAGUUAAAUAUCAUAGAUCCUUUUUUCACGAGUGGUUUUAUUUUCUUGACUAAAUUGAACUAGUAUACAUUAAAUAAGCGCCCAGAUUCAAAAAUGAACUACUAAGGAUUGGAACUGACCCGAGGCCUUUGGUACCACCAGUGACAAGAGCGGUCAUUCCUCUAAGGUUCCAUCUAGGUUUGUCUCCCAGGCUUUCCCUUGUCUUAGCCAUUUCUGAUUAUCAGUCAGAUUGUUUCGUGGAGAUUGGAAAUACUCAGUCCAGAAAAGCCAUAAUAUAAUGACCAUUAUUUGGUCACCACAUUUAAUCUAGACCGUCUAGACCACACAUAUGAUAGAUCUUUGUAAUGAUGUAACUAUGUAAGGCUGCGUGUAAAUAUUUUGGAAAUUCUUGCUAGAUUAAUCCAUUAAACGAGAAAAUGGUUGUAACGCGCGGAGAACUAGAAUAUCACGUGAUACCAUGUCGAAGGAACUCGACAAAAUGACCCCUAAUGUAACCUUUCAGUUCAUAGAAAAUGGUUGUAACGCUCAGAGAACUAGAAUAUCACCUGAUAGAGGUGUAUAACGCAACCUUUCAGUUCAUUCAAAAGUCGCCUGAUAAUCUGAGUGAUUAUUGUUUGCAUGGUUUUUAGAUUUUAAUUUUUGGUUUUUAGAUUUUAGUUUUAGAUUUUAGAUUUUACUUUUUAGUUUUUGAUUUUGCUGUAAAUUUUAGUUUUUCAAAAAACUUGAAUGGUGACACUAGAUUUUGGUUUUUGUUUUUACAAACUAAAAUAAGUUAUUAUAAUAAUAUAAUAGUUUUCAGAAAACAGUAAAAUAAAAAAUAACAUUAUCAUUGUAAAAUAAAAUUAAAAUAUUUAUAUUUUUAAAAAUGGUAAAAAUACAUAUUUAUGUAAUUUAUUUUAACAUAAUAUAGUUUUUAAAUAAAAAAUAUUAUGUAAUAAAUGUAUAGUAACUAGAGAAAUUGCCACAAAUAUCAGAUUCAUAGUACCACUUUUCAUGUUUACAAUAACCACUUUUACCCUCACUUUUAAUAAAAGGUAAAAUACAAUUAUACCCUUAGAGUUAACUAAUAUAGACUUAGAGUUUAGAGUUAAGGGGUGAGGUAGAGUUUUUGGAAUGUGAAAUUUAUGAUUCUAAUAAAUAUAUAAAUACUUAAAAAAUAUAUAAAAAUUUUUAAAAAAUAGUUUCAAACACAAAUUUCGUUUUUCAAAAAGAAAUUUGAAAAACAUUAAAAAAAAUCGAAAAAAAAAAUCAAAAAUCUUUUUUUUUUAUAAAAAAGUUUGGAUUUGAAAAAGUAUAAUUCGAAAACAUAAAAAAAAUUUACAUUUUUUUUUUUUAUUUUAACUUUUUAUUUUAACUUUUUAUUUUUUUAUUUUUAAUUUUUUUUUAUUUUUUUACUUUUUUUAUUUUUUUUUGUUUUCUUAUUGAAAUAAUGAUUUAUUAUAUAUAUAAAUAACAAGGGCAUAAGAGUCUUUUGCCACUUAAUGAAAAAUGUAUUUUUGAAAAUGUCUCAUUAGUGAUGGUAAAAAUGAAAAGUGGUACCAUGAAAGUGGUAAACAUGUAGUUUCCCCUAACUAUAACUAACAAAUUUAAUUAAAUUAAUAUAACUUUUAUAGUAUAAAUUAUUAUUUACAUAAUUAUAAAAUUAAUCUAUCUAAAAAUUGUUUUAUAAUUUGUAUUCAUGUGUUUUAGGAUAAAUGUAGCUUUUACAAAGUAGAUAUUUUUUUAUAAAAUUAAUAUUUUCUGCAAAAAAAAUAAAAAUUAAUAAAAUAAAAAUAUUAAUAAUAACAUAUUAUUUACUAUAAAAUUGUAAAUAGCUCAAUUAAGUUCCUAAUACAAGAAGAAUGUUUAUUUAUAUAAAGCCAUAGCUUAAAAAAAAAAACUAAGAAGCAUUUAUUGUACAAAACUGGUUUUUUGUUGAAUAAAUUUGAAAAUCAUUAAAAGGAUCAGUAAUGAAGCAUGCUUCUCUAUUUUUGAAGAAAAGAAACUAAUGGAACUGCGAAAAAGUUUAUGUUUUCGUAUACACACUCACAUCGUGAGGUUUUUAUUCAAGUUUAAAGACAGUUACAAAACGCUAAAAGGCCAUUAUCUCAAGCCCGUGACUGAUAGGAGAAACCGUUAACUGUGAGGCCUCCAUCAACACAAAUGGUUUGACCAGUGAUGUA